CAGAGGGGUUUUGAAGUGGCCUGAUGGAAAGAUGUAUUCUGGCAUGUUCAGGAAUGGCUUGGAAGAUGGUUAUGGAGAAUACAGAAUCCCAAACAAGGCGAUGAACAAAGAAGACCAUUAUGUGGGCCAUUGGAAAGAAGGAAAAAUGUGCGGUCAAGGAGUCUACAGCUAUGCUUCUGGUGAAGUAUUUGAGGGCUGUUUUCAAGAUAAUAUGCGUCAUGGUCAUGGCCUUCUACGAAGUGGGAAAUUGACGUCCUCUUCUCCUAGUAUGUUCAUUGGCCAGUGGGUAAUGGAUAAGAAAGCAGGAUAUGGUGUCUUUGAUGAUAUCACUAGGGGGGAAAAGUAUAUGGGAAUGUGGCAAGAUGAUGUGUGUCAAGGGAAUGGUGUGGUGGUUACCCAGUUUGGAUUAUACUACGAGGGCAACUUUCACCUUAAUAAAAUGAUGGGAAAUGGGGUUUUGCUUUCUGAAGAUGAUACUAUCUAUGAGGGAGAAUUUUCAGAUGACUGGACUCUUAGCGGAAAGGGAACACUGACUAUGCCAAAUGGAGACUACAUUGAAGGUUAUUUUAGUGGAGAAUGGGGAUCUGGGAUAAAAAUCACUGGAACCUACUUCAAACCUAGUCUGUAUGAGAGUGAUAAAGACAGACCUAAAGUUUUACAGGGUGUCACUCUGUCACCAGGCUGGAGUGCAGUGGUGUGAUCAUGGCUCACUGCAGCCUUGACCUC
RNAcentral lists this small RNA (726 nucleotides) under Pongo abelii (Sumatran orangutan). RNAcentral's name for it is "processed transcript". The record is from RNAcentral. Lineage: Eukaryota; Metazoa; Chordata; Mammalia; Primates; Hominidae.